GACACGUUGCUCACAGCCUCUCUUCUGGCCCCUGGAGAGAGCUUGGUGUGAAUGAUGUCCAGGGCCUAACAAAGCAAGGGUGCUCCAACAACUGUGGCGUGUUUGUUUUGAUGGAAAACAUGCUGCAAAUGAGGAGAUGGUGGUGUCUCGCUCUCCUGCAGAACUUCCCCAUGCCAUCUGAAGAAGACCGAUUGCAGGACAGAAAACGGCGACGAGUGCAAGGAGGGCUACAGACAGUGGAAAAUGAACAGAACUGGAAACAGGGAACAGGGUUGCUUGUUAUGGGC
Long non-coding RNA from Entelurus aequoreus (snake pipefish), 287 nucleotides. RefSeq lists it as uncharacterized. The transcript is spliced from 5 exons. The record is from RefSeq and is a predicted model, not a curated record. Lineage: Eukaryota; Metazoa; Chordata; Actinopteri; Syngnathiformes; Syngnathidae.